Molecule: ribosomal RNA, 278 nt
Filed under: uncultured Rikenellaceae bacterium
Lineage: Bacteria; Pseudomonadati; Bacteroidota; Bacteroidia; Bacteroidales; Rikenellaceae
Description: partial 16S ribosomal RNA
Rfam family: Bacterial small subunit ribosomal RNA
Source: RNAcentral
GCAGCCGCGGUAAUACGUAGGGGGCGAGCGUUGUCCGGAAUGACUGGGCGUAAAGGGCGUGUAGGCGGCCUGUUAAGUUAGAAGUGAAAGUCCUGCUUUCAAGGUGGGAAUUGCUUUUAAUACUGAUGGGCUUGAGUGCAGAAGAGGUAAGUGGAAUUCCCAGUGUAGCGGUGAAAUGCGUAGAGAUUGGGAGGAACACCAGUGGCGAAGGCGACUUACUGGGCUGUAACUGACGCUGAGGCGCGAAAGCGUGGGGAGCGAACAGGAUUAGAUACCCC